UAAUACUAAGCCAUGCGAGUCAUUGCAGUAAUGCAAGGCAGACGGCUCAGUAACGCGUAGUCAACCUACCCUAUGGACGGGAAUAACCUCGGGAAACUGAGUAUAAUGCCCGAUAGAACACUAUUCCUGGAAUGGUUUGUGUUCCAAAUGAUUUAUCGCCGUAGGAUGGGACUGCGGCCUAUCAGUUUGUUGGUGAGGUAAUGGCCCACCAAGACUAUUACAGGUACGGGCUCUGAGAGGAGUAGCCCGGAGAUGGGUACUGAGACACGGACCCAGGCCCUAUGGGGCGCAGCAGGCGAGAAAACUUUGCAAUGUGCGAAAGCACGACAAGGUUAAUCCGAGUGGUUUGUGCUAAACGAACCUUUUGACAGUCCUAGAAACACUGUUGAAUAAGGGGUGGGCAAGUUCUGGUGUCAGCCGCCGCGGUAAAACCAGCACCUCAAGUGGUCAGGAUGAUUAUUGGGCCUAAAGCAUCCGUAGCCGGCUCUGUAAGUUUUCGGUUAAAUCUGUACGCUCAACGUACAGGCUGCCGGGAAUACUGCAGAGCUAGGGAGUGGGAGAGGUAGACGGUACUCGGUAGGAAGGGGUAAAAUCCUUUGAUCUAUUGAUGACCACCUGUGGCGAAGGCGGUCUACCAGAACACGUCCGACGGUGAGGGAUGAAAGCUGGGGGAGCAAACCGGAUUAGAUACCCGGGUAGUCCCAGCUGUAAACUAUGCAAACUCAGUGAUGCAUUGGCUUGUGGCCAAUGCAGUGCUGCAGGGAAGCCGUUAAGUUUGCCGCCUGGGAAGUACGUACGCAAGUAUGAAACUUAAAGGAAUUGGCGGGGGAGCACCACAAGGGGUGAAGCCUGCGGUUCAAUUGG
Molecule: ribosomal RNA, 864 nt
Filed under: uncultured archaeon
Lineage: Archaea
Description: bacterial SSU rRNA
Rfam family: Archaeal small subunit ribosomal RNA
Source: RNAcentral